RNAcentral lists this transfer RNA (68 nucleotides) under Aegilops uniaristata. Its description in RNAcentral is "partial tRNA-Val". It matches the Rfam family "tRNA", at positions 9 to 71 of the family's 71-position model. Rfam says of the family: Transfer RNA (tRNA) molecules are approximately 80 nucleotides in length. Their secondary structure includes four short double-helical elements and three loops (D, anti-codon, and T loops). Lineage: Eukaryota; Viridiplantae; Streptophyta; Magnoliopsida; Poales; Poaceae. RNAcentral also lists the same sequence under 1 other name. The record is from RNAcentral.
AGCUCAGUUCGGUAGAGCAACUCGUUUACACACCGAGAAGGUCUACGGUUCGAAUCCGUAUAGCCCUA